RNAcentral lists this ribosomal RNA (460 nucleotides) under uncultured bacterium. RNAcentral's name for it is "partial 16S ribosomal RNA". It matches the Rfam family "Bacterial small subunit ribosomal RNA", at positions 338 to 795 of the family's 1533-position model. The record is from RNAcentral.
CCUACGGGUGGCAGCAGUGAGGAAUAUUGGUCAAUGGGCGCGAGCCUGAACCAGCCAAGUAGCGUGAAGGAUGACUGCCCUAUGGGUUGUAAACUUCUGUUAUAGGGGAAUAAAGUGCAGUAUGUAUACUGCUUUGCAUGUACCUUAUGAAUAAGGAUCGGCUAACUCCGUGCCAGCAGCCGCGGUAAUACGGAGGAACCGAGCGUUAUCCGGAUUUAUUGGGGUUAAAGGGAGCGUAGGCGGGUUGUUAAGUCAGUUGUGCAAGUUUGUGGCUCAACCGGAAAAUUGCAGUUGAUACUGGCAUCCUUGAGUACAGUAGAGGUAGGCGGAAUUCGUGGUGUAGCGGUGAAAUGCUUCGAUAUCACGAAGAACUCCGAUUGCGACGGCACCCUGCUGGACUGUAACUGACGCUGAUGCUCGAAAGUGUGGGUAUCAAACAGGAUUAGAUACCCGGGUAGUC